Molecule: long non-coding RNA, 203 nt
Organism: Arabidopsis thaliana (thale cress)
Lineage: Eukaryota; Viridiplantae; Streptophyta; Magnoliopsida; Brassicales; Brassicaceae
Product: other RNA
Exons: 1
Source: RefSeq
AACAAGAAUCAUGAAGGGGGCAAUAGAAAUUUCUUGAUAAAAAUGUCUUAAAGCCUCGUGGUUUUAUGAGACAACACGAAUCAUGAAGGGGGUAAUAGAAUGACCUCAAGUCCUUAGUGAGCUUUGGAGAUCUUUCUAUGGUCUGUUUUAAUUCGCUUCAUCUAGAUUCAGCUUGAUCCAAUCCACGCCCAUAUCGGUUAUGA